CCCUUAGAUGUCCGGGGCCGCACGCGCGCUACACUGAAGGAAUCAGCGUGGCUUUCUCCCUGACCCGAAAGGGUUGGGAAACCCGUUGAAUCUCCUUCGUGAUAGGGAUUGGGGCUUGAAAUUGUUCCCCAUGAACGAGGAAUUCCCAGUAAGCGCGAGUCAUAAGCUCGCGUUGAUUACGUCCCUGCCCUUUGUACUCACCGCCCGUCGCUACUACCGAUUGAACGGUUUAGUGAGGGCCUCGGAUUGGUCUCGGCCCGCUCUUUACCGGGCGGCGCCGUUGGUCGAGAAGACGCUCGAACUUGAUCGUUUAGAGGAAGUAAAAGUCGUAACA
Molecule: ribosomal RNA, 334 nt
Filed under: uncultured eukaryote
Lineage: Eukaryota
Description: partial 18S ribosomal RNA
Rfam family: Eukaryotic small subunit ribosomal RNA
Source: RNAcentral